Molecule: unclassified non-coding RNA, 660 nt
Filed under: Bombus terrestris (buff-tailed bumblebee)
Lineage: Eukaryota; Metazoa; Arthropoda; Insecta; Hymenoptera; Apidae
Description: misc RNA ENSBTSG00005028644.1
Source: RNAcentral
AUUCAAUCAUUUUGUAAUAUUAAAUGCACAGAUAUAGAGAGUUGGAUAUUACAAUGGAAAAGUUGAAAAGUAAUUUUACGAAAAAUAUUUCUCGGCCGUGAUAGUCACUCGUCGCCUUAUCUGACGAUUUCUGCGCGACAUAAUCCACCUUUCUACGAACCACCCAGUCAUCCGGACUACAACGGGACCAUUCUGCUCUCCCCGUGGGAUCGCGGCGCUUGUAAACCAGCCUGUAGCUUACGUUCAAUCAAUGGAGCCUGGUAAAUCGGGGAGAACACGGAAAAUCGCGACAGAAAUCGAGACAAAUCGUUUUAAAAUGAUCGACGGAAUCGAUCAGUAGACAUCAACGGUGAUCCGGCAGAAAACACGCGACGACAAAGAGGAGUCAUCGAUUCGUAGGUAGCGACCGAGGUUUGGUUCGUUUCGACAACGCGACAGCCAUAACCAUACGCGGCAGCAGCAGCCUCUUUCCGCCCUCGAGUAUCGUAAAUAACGUUCAGGUGACAGAAUCUCCAAUUUGAGGAAACUGGGUAAGUUUGCAUCCUGAUAGGGAAAUCUGUAUGCAAACAUUAGAAUACAUUAUUAUACGAGACUAUAAAAGAAGAAGUACUCUUCUAGAAAAAUUUUCUUGUCUAUUUGACGAAGAACCAAGUGAAACGA